GACGAACGCUGGCGGCGUGCUUAACACAUGCAAGUCGAACGGAAAGGCCCCUUUGGGGGUACUCGAGUGGCGAACGGGUGAGUAACACGUGAGUAACCUGCCCUUGACUUCGGGAUAACUUCCGGAAACUGGGGCUAAUACCGGAUAGGAAUCCUUGCUGCAUGGUGGGGGUUGGAAAGCUUCGGCGGUUUUGGAUGGACUCGCGGCUUAUCAGCUUGUUGGUGGGGUAGUGGCUUACCAAGGCUUUGACGGGUAGCCGGCCUGGGAGGGCGACCGGCCACAGUGGGACUGAGAUACGGCCCAGACUCCUACGGGAGGCAGCAGUGGGGAAUAGUGCACAAUGGGCGGGAGCCUGAUGCAGCCACGCCGCGGGCGGGAUGACGGCCUUCGGGUUGUAAACCGCUUUCAGCAGGGGCGAAGCUUGUGGUGACGGUACCUGCAGAAGAAGCACCGGCUAACUACGUG
RNAcentral lists this ribosomal RNA (465 nucleotides) under uncultured bacterium. RNAcentral describes it as "partial 16S ribosomal RNA". It matches the Rfam family "Bacterial small subunit ribosomal RNA", at positions 28 to 507 of the family's 1533-position model. The record is from RNAcentral.